Molecule: ribosomal RNA, 448 nt
Filed under: uncultured bacterium
Lineage: Bacteria
Description: bacterial SSU rRNA
Rfam family: Bacterial small subunit ribosomal RNA
Source: RNAcentral
ACUCCUACGGGAGGCAGCAGUGGGGAAUAUUGCACAAUGGGCGCAAGCCUGAUCCAGCCAUGCCGCGUGAGUGAUGAAGGCCCUAGGGUUGUAAAGCUCUUUCACCGGUGAAGAUAAUGACGGUAACCGGAGAAGAAGCCCCGGCUAACUUCGUGCCAGCAGCCGCGGUAAUACGAAGGGGGCUAGCGUUGUUCGGAUUUACUGGGGCGUAAAGCGCACGUAGGCGGACUUUUAAGUCAGGGGUGAAAUCCCGGGGCUCAACCCCGGAACUGCCUUUGAUACUGGAAGUCUUGAGUAUGGUAGAGGUGAGUGGAAUUCCGAGUGUAGAGGUGAAAUUCGUAGAUAUUCGGAGGAACACCAGUGGCGAAGGCGGCUCACUGGACCAUUACUGACGCUGAGGUGCGAAAGCGUGGGAGCAAACAGGAUUAGAUACCCUGGUAGCACAGAG